RNAcentral lists this long non-coding RNA (3230 nucleotides) under Salmo salar (Atlantic salmon). Its description in RNAcentral is "lncRNA (ENSSSAG00000100245.1)". Lineage: Eukaryota; Metazoa; Chordata; Actinopteri; Salmoniformes; Salmonidae. The record is from RNAcentral.
UCAUUACUAGCCUGUACCCCCGCACACUGACUCGGUACCGGUACCCCCUGUAUAUAGCCUCGAUAUUGUUAUUCUUAUUGUCUUACUUUUUAUUAUUACUUAUUACUUUAUACUUUUUAGCCUAAUUGGUCAAUAUUUUCUUCUUCUUGAACUGCAUUGUUGGUUAAAGGGCUUGUAAGUGAACAUUUCACGGUGAGGUCUACAGUUGUUGUAUUCGGCGCAUGUGGCAAAUAAAGUUUGAUUUGAUGUGAUAAAUCAUACCGGGCCCAGUUUCCCCCCGUAGCGAUGGAAUUUAGGAUUAUGAUUGUUUUAACGAUGCAUCUUUUCUACAACGGCCCGAAUAUGUAACAAACGUUUUCCCUCAAACAUCACGCAGAGAGAAAAUGGUCGCUAAAUGCGUCGUCGGAGCACGUGUCCAUACUGAUAGGAUUGAAAGGAAGGGAGCGUUGUUCUUGGAUCCGUUUUUCCUCGAUUCAAAUCGUUCCUUAGUAUUAGAAUUAUUGCACAAUACUAGAGCGACAUAACCGGCUUAUUCUAAUGCUUAGCCAAACUAAAUAACCAAUUCGGCACAUCAUUGCUUACAUUUUACGCCAUGUAUCAUGAAAUAUAUUGAGACUAAUUACAGACAGUAGCCUACAAGUAGCAAAAUAUAACUCCUUUGAUAUAACAUGUUAUUUCACUAUGAUUGAAAUAGGUCUAUAGCCUACUAUUUCUAUUUCAAUGCAGUCAUCUCGCUUUUCAUUUGAAGCAUAUUUUUUAUAUACAUCACUUGUUUGCAUCACUUGCAAAGACAUUGGCAACUUUGUAUUUGUAGUCGACUGUGUUCUGAAGUUAUUGGCAGGUCACAGAGAAACAGAUAAACAAUGUGAUUCUAUGAUUAGCGGAGAUCUACUGUGUAUGAAGAAACACGGGAGGGCAAAAAAAAAGCAUUGAGCGGUGUGCUUAGCUGUUCUACGAAUGGUCUGAGGGCAGGAGUUAGAUUACCAGUGGUCUGAGGGCAGGAGUUAGAUUACCAGUGGUCUGAGGCGUUAGAUUACCAGUGGUCUGAGGCGUUAGAUUACCAGUGGUCUGAGGCAUUAGAUUACCAGUGGUCUGAGGCGUUAGAUUACCAGUGGUCUGAGGGCAGGCGUUAGAUUACCAGUGGUCUGAGGGCAGGCGUUAGAUUACCAGUGGUCUGAGGGGAGGAGUAAGAUUGCCAGUGGUCUGAGGGCAGGAGUUAGAUUACCAGUGGUCUGAGGCAUUAGAUUACCAGUGGUCUGAGGGCAGGCGUUAGAUUACCAGUGGUUUGAGGCAGGCAUUAGAUUACGAGUGUUUUCAAGUGCAACGUUGAUAACGAUGGAUUUCAGAUUUAAUGAUGCUCCUAUGAAUGUUCUAUUGACGAAUUUAGCCUUCAAAUGCUUUUGGGAAACUGAAAACCGACUCAAACGUCAACAUAACAGAAUGAUAUCAUGGUUGCUACGGGCGGCAGCAGGUGAGUGUGGGGCACUGGCAUGUUAAUACAUGUGUUUAAUUGUUUUAAAAUCUUACCCUUUAUUGCCUUAUGUUGUGACUAGACACACACGCAAUCACAAUCAUACACGCACGCACACACCUGAGGUAUUUCUACAGAUGGUGAUAUCCCUCCAAUUUCCUAGACUGUCAGCGACAAGGUGGAAGAGACAGAGACAGACACAGAGAGAGAGAGAGAGACAGAGAGCGAGAGAGAGAGAGAUAUUAAAUUGAAUGAACUGCAGGACAAAAUACAACCUCCAACCCAAAAAGGCCUGUGGUGUUGAUAGUAUCCUCAAUGUGAAAUGAUAAAAUAUUGACCACAAAUUCCAAUUGGCUAUACUUAAACUCUAGCUCUGGCAUCUUCCCCAAUAUUUGGAACCAAGGACUGAUCACCCCAAUCCAUAAAAGUGGAGGCAAAUUUUACCCCAGUAACUGCCGUGGAAUAUGCAUCAACAGCAACCUUGGGAAAAUCCGCUGCAUUAUCAUUAACAGCAGAAUCGUACAUUUCCUCAGCAAAACAAUGUACUGAGUAAAUGUGAAAUUGGCUUUAUACCAAAUUACCGUAUGACAGACCACGUAUUCCCCCUGCUCAACCUAAUUGACAAACAAACAAACCAAAACAAAAGCAAAGUCUUCACAUGCUUUGUUGAUUUCAAAAAAAGCUUUUGACUCCAUUUGGCAUGAGGAUCUGCUACACAAAUUGAUGGAAGGCUGUUUUUGGGGAAAAACAUAUGACAUUUUAAAAUCCAUAUACCCAAACAACAAGUGAGCGGUUAAAACUUCUUAAGUGUCCUGCUAGGCGUCCCGCUAGCAGGACAACUUCCGGUGAAACUGGAGGGUGCGAAUUGAAAUAAAUAAUCAUAAAAAAUAUGGAUAUUAAACAUUUAGGUACAUACAAGUGUCGUAUAUCGGUUGAAAGCUUAAAUUAUUGUUAAUCUAACUGCACUGUCUGAUUUACAGUAGGCUUUACAGCGAAAGCAUGCCAUGUGAAUGUUUGAAGACAGCACCCCACAUCAAAAUAUUUUUCCACCGGCACAGAUUUCAUAAAUUCACAAAUAGUGAUCAAAUAUUCACUUACUUUUUGAAAAUCUUCCUCUGAUUUAUCAUCCAAAGGAUCCCAGCUAUAACAUGGAGUGUCGUUUUGUUAGAUAAAAUCCUUCUUUAUAUCCCAAAAAAGUAUGUUUAGUUGGCGCCAUCGAUUUGUGUAAUCCACUCAUUCAACAUGCCACAAUAGGAAUCCAAAAAUCUACCCCUUAACUUUGUUUCAACAAGUCACAAUACGUUUCUAUUUAAUCCUCAGAUACGCUAAAAUGUAAUUAAACUAUCAUAUUUAAAAACGGAAAGAAGUAUGUUCAAUAGGAAUCCGAUUUUAGCAGGUACGUGUUGUCUUCAUGUCGCACCCACACACGAAUUUCCAAGCAGGUGUCCUUGUACUAAAACUCAUAUUUCUUACUCGUUUGGAAGCCAUAGGAAUUGCAUCCUGGGAGGUAGAAUUCAUUAUGCCCCUAUACUUUCUAUUGGAAGAGCAUGGGCUCUCCCCCAAAAGAUAUUCUGGUUGGUUUUUCUUUGGAUUUUCUCCUACCAUAUCUAUUGUGUUAUAGUCUCUUACAUUAUUUUAACAUUUCAACAAACUCCAAAGUGUUUUCUUUCCAAUGUUACCAAUUAAAUGCAUAUCCUGGCUUCAGGGCCUGAGUAACAGGCAGUUUACUUUGGGCACGUCAGUCAGACAGGAAGUGGAG